This 520-nucleotide long non-coding RNA is filed under the name Cyanistes caeruleus (blue tit). Its description in RNAcentral is "lncRNA (ENSCCEG00000002274.1)". The record is from RNAcentral. Lineage: Eukaryota; Metazoa; Chordata; Aves; Passeriformes; Paridae.
CAAGAACUUGCUCAUCUGUUUCAAGACAUAGUUCAUAUAAUUUAACCAUACACGUGUUAGCCAAAGCCUUUCAAUAAAAAGAGAUAAAUAAUGAAACCUAAUGUUCCUCUUCUUAUAAUGAUCCUUUAGGCCUCAUCUACACAUGAAGUUAAUUAGUUUAAACUGGCAGAGGAAAAGCCUUGCCAUCAGGCUUACAAAGGCAUUUUUUAGACAGCAAUUAUUGAAUUAUGGAAGGUUGGGCUCACCAGGACCAAACAAUUGGGAAAAGGACCUCAAAUAAGAAGGUGAAAAGGGUAUAGUACAUUACAUGAUAGAAGAUGUUAAUAUUAGAAGUGGAACAGAUGGCUCAGAUUGAGAUUGGGAGCACAACUACAACUGAAAGAUGAAGAAAGAGAUUCAAAGAAGAACAAACAAGAGCAGAAAAUUCAAUUAAAAUGUCCAAUUUUGAGGAAGCAGGUGUGUGGAUUUUAUUAUUGAGACCUCUAGAUUCUCAUUUAGAGUAACCCAUUUGUGAGGCUUG